CGAAUCAUAGUUCAAUUAGUGAAUAUUCUACUUACACUGGAAAGUUUUACUGUGCAAUUCAGUUUGAUUUGA
Molecule: transfer RNA, 72 nt
Filed under: Heteragrion sp. 1 BM-2008
Lineage: Eukaryota; Metazoa; Arthropoda; Insecta; Odonata; Megapodagrionidae
Description: tRNA-Val
Source: RNAcentral